GGAGAACGCUGGCGGCGUGGAUUAGGCAUGCAAGUCGGACGGUAGGGCUUUAUCGUAAGAUAGAGUUUGAGAGUGGCGAACGGGUGAGUAACACGUAGGAAUCUACCCUUAAGACGGGGACAACCCAGGGAAACUUGGGCUAAUACCGGAUGAGAGUGCGAGAGAUUGCAUUUAAAAGGAUGGCGAAAGUUGUCGCUUAGGGAUGAGCCUGCGGUCUAUUAGUUAGUUGGUGAGGUAAGAGCUCACCAAGGCGAUGAUAGAUAGGCGGCCUUAACGGGUGGUCGCCCACACUGGGAUUGAGAUACGGCCCAGACUCCUACGGGAGGCAGCAGUCGAGAAUAGUCUACAAUGGCCGGAAGGCUGAUAGUGCGACGCCGCGUGAACGAGGGAGCCCUUCGGGGUGUAAAGUUCUUUUAUAUGUGAGCAGUGCUUCUUAUACUAACAGUAUGGGGAGAGAGAUAUUAGCAUAUGAAUAAGCAACGGCUAACUCCGUG
RNAcentral lists this ribosomal RNA (494 nucleotides) under uncultured bacterium. Its description in RNAcentral is "bacterial SSU rRNA". It matches the Rfam family "Bacterial small subunit ribosomal RNA", at positions 31 to 507 of the family's 1533-position model. The record is from RNAcentral.